RNAcentral lists this ribosomal RNA (622 nucleotides) under Gonionemus vertens. Its description in RNAcentral is "partial 16S ribosomal RNA". It matches the Rfam family "Bacterial large subunit ribosomal RNA", at positions 1811 to 2605 of the family's 2925-position model. Lineage: Eukaryota; Metazoa; Cnidaria; Hydrozoa; Limnomedusae; Olindiidae. The record is from RNAcentral.
AAACAUAGCCCCCGGAAUAUAUCGGAGGUGACUCCUGCCCUAUGGUAUAUAAUUUGUUUUCUAAAGAAAACUUAAACAUAUACUAAAUGGCCGCGGUAACUCUGACCGUGAUAAUGUAGCGAAAUCAAUCGUCAUUUAAUUGAUGACCAGUAUGAAUGGAUAAACGAAUUUUCCCCUGUCUCGAUUAUAAGACUAAUAAAAUUGUAAUUAUAGUGAAGAUACUAUAAAAUAAUUGUAAGACGAAAAGACCCUAUAGAGCUUAACUAUAUUCAUAUUAAUCAUAUUCAUAAAUUAUGAUUUUAAUUAGAAUGAAAGGUAGUUUGGUUGGGGCGACCAUCUUCUAAAAAAAACGAAGAUAAGCAAUGAUUUUUUAAUCAUAUUUAAUUUAAUUGUUUAAUUAAUAAAUUUAACAAAUACUAUUGUAGGCGAUAAUGACCCGUUACUAUUAUCAAAUAAAUAUAACGAUCAAUUAAUAAAAGCUACCUUAGGGAUAACAGCGUUAUCUUGUUUAAGAGUUCUUAUCGACAACAAGGUUUGCGACCUCGAUGUUGAAUUGUGAUAUCCUGGAGGUGUAGCAGUUUCCAAAGGUUGGUCUGUUCGACCAUUAAAAUCGCACGUGAUC